GCCUGGGUAGCUUAGUCAGUUAAGCAUCUGAUUUCAGCUCAGGUCAUGAUCUCACAGUUUGUGAGUUCAAGCCCCACAUUGGGCU
This 85-nucleotide transfer RNA is filed under the name Felis catus (domestic cat). It matches the Rfam family "tRNA". From Rfam's summary of the family: Transfer RNA (tRNA) molecules are approximately 80 nucleotides in length. Their secondary structure includes four short double-helical elements and three loops (D, anti-codon, and T loops). The record is from Rfam by way of RNAcentral. Lineage: Eukaryota; Metazoa; Chordata; Mammalia; Carnivora; Felidae.